AAAAACAGCUAGAGGGGGAAAAAGAGACUAGAUUUAGAGAGAGAUAAUGGUUGUAAUGAUGAUGAUGAAGCUGGCAAUUUCUGAGAUUUUAAAUGGUAUUUAUUCCAUUUUAUAAUUCUCCAUAAAUAUUAAAUAUAGCAAUUGCUUCGAGAUUUUCCUUAUUUUCGUGUAAUGAUAACACUCUUGUGGCCGACGCAUAAAUAUUUGGGCGAACAAAAGCACAGCAUUCUGGACCGUAAUGAUCCAUGGAUAAUACUACCC
RNAcentral lists this long non-coding RNA (261 nucleotides) under Brassica rapa (field mustard). RNAcentral's name for it is "long non-coding RNA (BRAP_LNC004628)". The record is from RNAcentral. Lineage: Eukaryota; Viridiplantae; Streptophyta; Magnoliopsida; Brassicales; Brassicaceae.